AACGAACGCUGGCGGCAUGCCUAACACAUGCAAGUCGAACGAGACCUUCGGGUCUAGUGGCGCACGGGUGCGUAACGCGUGGGAACCUGCCCUUAGGUUCGGAAUAACUCCCUGAAAGGGGUGCUAAUACCGGAUAAUGUCUUCGGACCAAAGAUUUAUCGCCUUUGGAUGGGCCCGCGUUGGAUUAGCUAGUUGGUAGGGUAAAAGCAUACCAAGGCGACGAUCCAUAGCUGGUCUGAGAGGAUGAUCAGCCACACUGGGACUGAGACACGGCCCAGACUCGUACGGGAGGCAGCAGUGGGGAAUAUAGGACAAGGGGCGAAAGCCUGAUCCAGCAAUGCCGCGUGAGUGAUGAAGGCCUUAGGGUUGUAAAGCUCUUUUAGCCGGGAUGAUAAUGACAGUACCGGGAGAAUAAGCUCCGGCUAACUCCGUG
Molecule: ribosomal RNA, 433 nt
Filed under: uncultured bacterium
Lineage: Bacteria
Description: partial 16S ribosomal RNA
Rfam family: Bacterial small subunit ribosomal RNA
Source: RNAcentral